GACGAACGCUGGCGGCGUGCUUAACACAUGCAAGUCGAACGAAGAGCGAUGGAAGCUUGCUUCUAUCAAUCUUAGUGGCGAACGGGUGAGUAACGCGUAAUCAACCUGCCCUUCAGAGGGGGACAACAGUUGGAAACGACUGCUAAUACCGCAUACGAUCUAAACUCGGCAUCGAAGAUAGAUGAAAGGUGGCCUCUACAUGUAAGCUAUCACUGAAGGAGGGGAUUGCGUCUGAUUAGCUAGUUGGAGGGGUAACGGCCCACCAAGGCGAUGAUCAGUAGCCGGUCUGAGAGGAUGAACGGCCACAUUGGGACUGAGACACGGCCCAGACUCCUACGGGAGGCAGCAGUGGGGAAUCUUCCGCAAUGGACGAAAGUCUGACGGAGCAACGCCGCGUGAGUGAUGACGGCCUUCGGGUUGUAAAGCUCUGUUAAUCGGGACGAAAGGCCUUCUUGCGAAUAGUGAGAAGGAUUGACGGUACCGGAAUAGAAAGCCACGGCUAACUACGUG
This 510-nucleotide ribosomal RNA is filed under the name uncultured bacterium. RNAcentral describes it as "partial 16S ribosomal RNA". It matches the Rfam family "Bacterial small subunit ribosomal RNA", at positions 28 to 507 of the family's 1533-position model. The record is from RNAcentral.